UCUAAGUUUAUAAAAUAAAUAUUUUAGAAUUUAAAAUAUUAAAAUUAGAUAAACAGAUUUUUAAUUGAUAAAAUAAAAUAUUAAUAAUUAGAUAAUAUUUAUUAUUUGAGUAUGCAGUAAAUUGGAUUAUGAUUGGUAUUUUUACGAUAUUUGGUUGACAAAUAGAUACAUAUAACUGGCAGUAGUUAUUAAGCGGGGAUUUAGUUAUGUGAUACCGAAUAUUCGAAUUAAAAGAUAUUUGAUUCACAAAUCUUAUAAUAUAAAGAAGAAGAUUAUUCUCUUCUCUUCUUGCCACCUCAUCAAAUAGAUCAAAUAGAGCAAGGAGGUGGCGACACGUGUCCUGCUAAAUGAAAAAGUUUCGCUUACUUUUGAUUUUUUAUGGACUUAUACGGUUUGAUUAUUUGUAGGUUCUGGAUAAUGUGUGUUGGGCUGAGAAACAAACAACAACUUGGCCCAUUGUUUUUUCUUGGUAAAAUAUGUAGCCCGUUGUUUGCCUUCAUCUUCUUCCCGAGUAUUAUUGUUUAUAGGGUCCGUCGUCUCCUCCAAAAUCUGAUUUCGUCUACCACCAGCGGGUGUUCUGAAAGGUCGUGUGAGUUGAGACUUCGUGAGUGAUCUAUGUGUUGAUGUCUGUUCAUGUCGUUUUGUUAUCGAUUUGUCACCUCCGAACCGUUACAAGUUGGAUUGAUUCAACCAUUAACUACUUAUUAAUUAACUCUUUCACCCGCUAUAACCACGAUCCCAGCCACGAUCCUUCAUUCAAUGAUUCUUAUUCCUCUUGCAGUCGGUGAGUCUCCACCCUAAAAAAGGUAUGUGUGGAGCUUCCUCUGUAGAUUGAUGAUUUGAGUUCAUAGCUUCAUAAGUUUAUCUCAUGGCGGGCAACAACAAUGAAGGCACAAAGACUCUUGAUCACAUAUCAAGUUUGAAACCCAUUAUGUUCUCCCAUGAUAUUGUCUUCUUCUUUUUUAUGUAUAUGUACAUGAACGAUUGGAGAGAGAUUUGGGCUGACGAUUCUCUAAGACUCUAACAUGGCUAUCCAUGCCUCUGUUUAAUUGGGUCA
Long non-coding RNA from Brassica napus (rape), 1057 nucleotides. RefSeq lists it as uncharacterized. The record is from RefSeq and is a predicted model, not a curated record. Lineage: Eukaryota; Viridiplantae; Streptophyta; Magnoliopsida; Brassicales; Brassicaceae. The transcript has 2 exons.